GUGUCUGAGAUGUGGAGUACAGUGUUCACUCCGGCCUGGAGAUCAACCACAGGAGAGAAGUGAACUGUGUGGCAUCCUUAUGCUCUACUUAGAGGGAACACGGCCUGUAAGGAGGCAGACAAAGAGCUACAAACUCUGGAACACAGAAGUCUGCUCCUAUAAAAGGAAGAUCAACGUAAGUUUUGCUGGUCUGCUAAGACAGCAACUAUAUCUCCAUGCAUACC
Long non-coding RNA from Eubalaena glacialis (North Atlantic right whale), 224 nucleotides. RefSeq lists it as uncharacterized. The transcript is spliced from 3 exons. Lineage: Eukaryota; Metazoa; Chordata; Mammalia; Artiodactyla; Balaenidae. The record is from RefSeq and is a predicted model, not a curated record.